GUCCACUGCAGCCACAUGGGGAGGACACAGCCUGGUCCAGGACCUUUCCAUCAAUUUAAUUCCAAUAGAAUCCAGCCUCUUUCUUUGUAUGAUUUUGAAGGUAGAGUUGGUUUUGUCUUCUUGCUUACUGCCUCCUUUCGCUUGUUUAAAUAUUUACCUUACAUUUUCCCUACUCUGACUAGGGGAGACAUUUUGCUAACUUAAAAUAGUUGAGCGACAUUGUCCUCCACAGUCCCUUCUGGAGAUGUGAAUUUCCUUCAAACCUCUGAGAUUGGGGUUUAAGCCAUCUCUUCUGGAAUUCUCUCAUGGGGAGAUAAUUGAGUUCAACCGUUCCUUCAUACCAGGACCAGGUACCAGUUGUUAAAGAAUUAUGGAAAGCUAUUCCAGAGAACAUGUUGCCCACUUUUAGAUAUCUGCCUGAGCUCCACAGAUUCAGCCAGAGUCCAUUUAUACAAUGCUAAAUGAGAGUUUCCCACAUACAGGGAACUCUAACAUCUCCAGAUAAAUAGCUCUGCAAGGAGAAAAUGCAAAUUAUGACUUAAAGUCAGCCUCUACUUUUGUGCAGUGCAUACCAAUGUGGCUUUACCCUUUAGCUAGAGCAAUGGAGCUACUACUUCUUUUAUGCAGAUAGAUGCCCUGCAUGAGUUUGUUUCCUGAGACUGUUGGAAAAAUAAAUAGACUAUUAGCUACUUGGUUUCCUCUUUAGAAACCCAGCAGGCACAACAGGGAGAGACAUUAGUCUUUAAGCACCAGUUCUACGAAACAACCACACCAUAGAGCACUUGGAGCGGAACUGAAAAAGGUUAAAACAAGUCCAGAGAAAGGGUGUGGGCAGUCAGAUAGUUUAGCAGACGCUAAGCUUGUGCCAGGGACUUUUAUAAUCAAGGCUUUUGCAAUAGUGAUUUUGUAACAAGUAAAGAAUCCACACACAUGAGGAGGAAGUGUAAGAAAUCAAUUAAAACUUCAGAGAAUGAAACGUGGAAGGCAUAAAGCACCACACACUAAGAGACAAGGGGAAGAAUUAGUCACAGAAAUAAUCAUGAGGAAAGUGCAAUUGUGGGAUCAUACAAGCUGAGGAUGCCUAGAGGGAUCCCUGGAUGUCUGUGAGCUGUAAGGCUCAAGUGGAUUCCUGCAGUGCUCAGCAAGCCUCGCCAGGCCCCAUGUGCACAGGUGUGGGGGUCUUGCUCUGUCAUCCAAGCUGGAGUGCAGUGGUACAAUCACGGCUCACUGCAACCUGGACCUCCAGUGCUCAAGCAAUUCUCCCACCUAAGCCUCCUGAGUAGCCAGGACUACAGGUGUGUGCCACCACGCCCAGCUAAUUUUCUUUUAUUUAUUUAUUUAUUUAUUUAUUUAUUUAUUUAUUUAUAGAUAGGGACUCACUAUGUUGCCCAGGCUGGUCUCAAACUCCUGGGCACAAGUGGUCCUCUGUCCUUGAUUGGCCUCCCAAAGAGUUGAGAUUAUAGGCAUGAGCCAUCAUGCCAGGCCAGACGUGUGUUGUUUUUAAGCUACCAAGUUCACAGAAAUUUGCUACUGCAGCAAUGGGAAACUAAUAGAACGGGAAAGAGACACAGAGAUGUUUUACUGAAGAAGGUAUACAGACAGAAAUAAGCCCAUGAAAAUAUGUACACUUUCUUUUUCUUUUCUUUUCUUUUUUUUUUUUUUUUGAGAUGGAGAUUCACUCUUGUUGCCCAGGCUGAAGUGCAUGAUCUCAGCUCACUGCAACCUCUGCCUCUCAGGCUCAAGCGAUUCGCCUGUCUCAGCAUCCCAGGUAGCUGGGAUUACAGGCAUGUGCCACCAUGCCCGGCUAAUUUUGUAUUUUUAGUGGACACGGGGUUUCUCCAUGUUGGUCAGUCUGGUCUUGAACUCCAGACCUCAGGUGAUCCGCCCACGUUAGCCUCCCAAAGCACUGGGAUUACAGACAUGAGCCACCGUGCCUGGCCAAAAACAUGUACAUUUUCAUUAGCCAUUAGGGAAAUGAAAAAUAAAAACCACAAUGGGAUCUCACCACACACCCAUCAGCAUGGCUAAAAUAAAAAGUAGUGACAGCAUCAAAUGCCAGUUAGAAUGUAGAGAAACCAGAUCACUCACACAUUGCUGGUGGGAAUGUAAUGGUGCAGCCAUUCUAGAAAACUUCGGGAGUUUCUUUAAAAAACUAAACGUGCAACUACCAUAUCAUCCAGAAAUUGCACCCUGGGACAUUUGUCCUAGAGAAAUGAAGACUUAUCUUAUGUUCCUACAAAAACCUGCACAUGAAUAUUUACAGCAACUUCAUUCGUAAUAGCCCAAGAACUGGAAACAACCCCCGUGUCCUUCAACAAGUCGGUAAAUGAUUAAGCAGACUGGUUCAUCCAUACCAUGAAAUACUACUCAGCCAUGAGAAGAAACAGCCUUGAUACACAAAGCAACCUGGAUAAAUCUCCAGAGAAUUAUCCGGAGUGGAAAAAGCCAAUCCCCAAAGGCUGCUACACAGUCCGUGACUGCAUUAGUUUAACAUUCUUAACAUGACAAAAUUAUAGAGAUGGAGAACAGGUUGGUGGUUGGCAGGAGUUAAGGAGGAGGAGAGGGCAUUGACAAGGGAAGGAAAUGGGUAUGUCUAUAAAAAGGCAACUUGAGGACCCCUUGUGAUGAUGGAAAUGUUCUGUUUCUUAGCUGUAUCAAUGCCAGGGUCUUGGCUGUGAUACCGUACUGCAGUUUUGCAAGAUGUUACUAUCGGGGGAAAUUAGGUAAAGUGUUCAUGGGAUCUCUGCAUUAUUUCUUACAACUGCAUAUGAAUCCACGAUGAUCUCAAAAUAAGAAGUUUAAAACCACAAAUGUGGGGAGGAGAGAGGCAGAAGUGUUUGAAAAGGCUAGAAAUUAUCAAACAACAAUUUUAAAGUUCUAUUCAUAAACAAAGUAGAACUAUUUGAUUUCCCAUUGUAAAUAGAAAAUGUGAUUUUACAUGCCCAGUACAACAUAUAUGCUUAAUAAAUAUUUGUUGGAAAGAUGGUGGUGGGGGUGGAUGGAUGGAAAGCGAAUAGCUGCAAAUCCUGUCAGCAGGCAGUGUAGGGGCAGAGAGAGGAUGAAGGAAAAAGAAAAGACAAAGAGAUAAAGAAGGAGGAGGAAGGGGGAAAAAGAGCAGAAGAAGAGAAAUAAGAAGAGAGAAAGGAGGAAAUGAAGGGGAAAAGGAGGAAGAGGAAGAAGGGGAGGAAGGGGGAGGAAGAGGAAGAGAAAGAGAAGUCAGGGGAGAUGAGAAGCAUGGUGCUUUGUGGCAUAUUGACGGUGGGCAAGGCUGUGGAUUUUUCUGAGCAGCCUUGGUGUGGAGAAAAGACCUCCCAGGGUGCAUGGCGCCCGCAGACACCCUGGCUAGGCUGCCCCUUGUUGGGUGGAACUGCUCCCUCCCUCUUUGCUGGGCACCUACUUUGUCCCCUGGUGGGUGGCUCCUGUAUGGGUGAGGUAUUCCAGCUCUCUGGGCCCUUUCCUUCUCACCCUGUAUCGGCACAGCUCCAGCACCAGGUCAUGGUCACAGACAGUCAGAAUGUGCUGAUGGAAUUUUCCUGUUGAUUUAAGCUAGUGAGACCUUGCUUGUCCUGGAAAAACUGGACAUGAGAGAGGUAGGGGGAACAGGAAUUGCUUUCCAAGAAUCUCCCUCAUAUGGGGUGCUCUGAAGGCCUCUUUUGUCAUCUCCUUCUCCUUGGGAAGGGGUUCCUGGAAAGGUGCUGGUGCAGGAGGGCACUGGUGCAGGUAGCAGCUGGUGCAGUGCUGGACUUGUGUUCCCUGGAGACAGGGCCAUGAUCUUCUCUCCCAUGUGUCAAAUCAGACAAUGGACACUGAAACACUGCGCUGGGGCCUCAGGAGGAGGAUGAGGAACAGGAUAGGGGGACACCCACCUCUCUCUGCCCAGGACGACUCAGGGGUGUGCCUCCUAGCAGCUGUGAAAACACUAAAGGAUUUACAACAUUCCCGCUUAUGUGGGAUUUGGAUUCAUUUCCACAGCUCUACCUAUGAGUAAGAGAAUCUAUUCAGCAACAUGACAUCACGGAAUGGCAAGAGUGACAGCUGCAGAGGUGCCAGAUGUUGUCCCAUCUCUGUCUCACUGUGCUCUGGCCUUCUCUGGCCUCUCCUUUCUAACCCACCAACCCUGUCUGGCUGGGAUAUAGGCCUGGUUCAUAAGUCCCCUCUGCUAUACUCCACCUUUGCCUCAGGUCUCUCAUCCCUUUGCCUUCUGCCCGCCACCCACCUGGAUUGGAAGCCCACCGUGGGGGUUGUCUCUUGGCUGCUGAGCGCUCAGCAGGGCCCCUGUGGUCAGCAAAUGGGUGAUGUGGGAGUGCAGAUGACACACCCUGGUUGGGUUCUUUCCGUGAGAAAGUGGCAUUGGGUAUUUCUAAAAUGACUGUGGUUUUCUUAAAUUUUCUAACCACAAAAAUGUUAUGAGUUUCUCACCGUGGCAGAUCAAAUAGAAAUAUGAUUCAUGCUUCACAAUUUGUGUAGCCAAUAUCAUAGAUAUUUGGUAGUUCUAUUAUGUAUCUGACAGGUACAUAUAUUUUUUUCCUCUAAGAGAUUGUUCUGUGUGAAUAGAUAGAAACUACUUAAAUACAGUAAAGUCUAUUUAUUACAGACCAAGAGCAAACAGUUUACUAAAUGGAAAAAUGCUGAAGUCAUUUCUAUUAAUUCAAGAUCAAGACAGAGUGCCCAUUGUCAUCACUAUUGAUCUACACAGCAUUGACUGGAGUACAAUGGUGUGAUCUCAGCUCAACGCAACCUCCACCUCCUGGGUUCAAGUGAUUCUCGUGCCUCAGCCUCCUGAGUAGCUUGGAUUACAGGCCUCUGCCACCACACCUGGCUAAUUUUGUAUUUUUAGUAGAGGUGGGGUUUCUCCAUGUUGGUCAGGCUGGUCUUGAACUCCCGACCUCAAGUGAUCUGCCUACCUCAAACUCCCAAAGUGCUGGGAUUACAGGCGUGAGCCACCGCGCCCAGCCAGAAGGAGCACUUUCUAAACAAGCUAGAAAUCCCAGAAGCCAUCAACAAAGGGGGAGAUAUAUGUUGACUACAUGAAAAUUAAACAUUUUAUAAGAGAAGGAUCCAUGAGCAAAAUCAAAGAGCAAACAACAGACUAGGAAAUGUAUUUCCAACACACAAUCAAUCUCUUAAACCAUUGAAAAACUAUGAAUUAAUUAUACUUUUAAAAGAUAAAUUUAAAUUGUAGCAAGAAAAUGCUAAAGGACUAUGAGCUGCUAAUUUGCAGAAGAAGCAAUCCAAGCACCCAGAAAACACAUGAAAGGAGACUCAGAGAACAGAAAUUCAACAAAUGAGGCAACAGGGCCACCUAAGGUUUUAGGGUGACCAACUUGUCCUUGUUUGCCCAGGAGUCUCCUAGUUUUGAAACUCCUUAGUCCUGGGCAAACUGAGAUGGUUGCCCUUGACAGAAGAAAGAAAAGCCUGAAUCAGGUAUUUGAACUUUGAAUGGACCAAGAGUGUACUCAAUGAGAUUGAGUUAACCCCAAAAGACUUAAACCCCAGAAAGAGACUAAGUGGACUUCAAUGAGCAGCUUUGUGUUUUCUUACCAUUAAGGGAUUAGGGGCUCCAGGAUGAGGUGGCAGCAAUUCUAGGCAGUAAAGAAAGUUACUGACAUGGCUGGAAAGUUUGUAUACAAAGGUGGUUUAGGGUCAUGUGGGGGCUGAAACCUAGCUCAUGCUCUGCUUGUCGAGCUGUGUGUCCUGGUGUGGGGCUGAGCCCGUCUGGACCAAGGGAUGCCCUUGACUCUGCACACAGGUGUGCAUGGGUUAGAGGGACCCUAGUGAUGGCCGUCCUGUCAUCUGGGCUUGGUAGAGCCCAGGCCCAAAGCAUGGUGACACUCAGAGGACACACUCCUGCAUGGUCCAAGGCAGUGUUUCAGGGAAGAAUCUGUCUGGGUGGAGGCCUGGUGGGCUGGAGGGCUUGGAGGUGUCUGUGAGGUUGCCCUGCAGGCCCUGACCUCUCAGAGAUUGUACUGAGGGAGUGCCAGUCCUCCUGGUUGUCUGACUGGCUGUGCCCCCACUGCCACCCUCUCAGCCUACAGCCUCUUGCUCUUCACUCAGCCAGCUCCACAGGAACCUUUUUACAUUCUGAGCUCAGCAGUUCUUCUUCCCCACAGCCAGGCCCCUGGCCCCCUCCUCCCUGUAGCCUUCCUUGCCUGGGCUCUGAGAACCUGCCCUGACUGCAGACUGGGGUCUUUGUUAAUCUAGAUGAGGGCCCGGGGGCUGAGCUUCAGGUCUCAGAAUGUGCUUUCUAAGGUGGCCACCUUGAGACCUCCCAUCCCAUAAGCUCUUCUUACAAUGUGUUGUUGACUUUCCUCCCAUUGAGAGGUGGGGGUGCCUUUGAAUUUGGGAGGGACUAUGUCAUACAACUAUGACAAAAGUGACUGUCUUCAUCUGUUUUCUAUUGUUAUAACAGAAUAACACAGACUUGGUGAUUUUUUUUUUUUUUGAGACAGGGUCUUGCUCUGUUGCCCAGACUGGAGUGCAGUGGUUUGAUCUCGACUCACUGCAACCUCCAUCUCCUGGGUUCAAGUGAUCCUCCCACUUUAGCCUCUGGAGUCACUGGGACUACUAUGUGCACAACACCACACCCAGCUAAUUUCUGUAUUUUUUGUAGAGAUGGGGUUUCACCGUGUUGUCCAGGCUGUUCUCAAACUCCUGGGCUCAAGUGAUGCACCCACCUCAGCAUCCCAAAGUGCUAGGAUUACAGACAUGAGCCACCACUGUGCCCACCCCAGACUGGGUGAUUUAUAAAGAAAAUAAGGGGUUUUUUUGGGCUCAUGGAGGCUGGGAAACCCAAGAGCAUGGCACUGGCAUCUGGUGAGGGCUUUCUUGCUGCAGCAUCUCGUGGUGGAAGGACAAGUGAACAUGACAGACAGAGAAUGGAGGCUAAACUUAAGCUUUUUAUCAGGAGUCUACUCCCAUGAUAACUAACCUGCUCCCACAAUAAUGGCCUGAAUGCAUUCAUUAGAAUGGUGUCCCUGUGACUUACUCACCUCUUAAAGGCUCCGUAUCUUAAUACUGUUACAGUGUCAAUUAAAUCUCAACAUGAGCUUAGUAGAGGUCAAACAUUCAAACUCCAGCAGUGACAUUAUGUGAGGCUCAUUCCUAAAAGGCAAUACAGCUUCUGCCUGGUUCUCUUGGGACACCUGCUCUUGGAAUCCAGCUACCAUGCUGUGAGGAAGCCCAAGCCUCCUGGAGAGGCCAUGUGUGGCUCUUCUGACUGAGCUGACAACCAGAUUGGUUAUGGAAACUUCUGAGAUGGCUCCAGCCCCAAUUAACCUCGAUUGUGUAAGAAACAUCUAGCUGAACCCAUUCAACCGCCAGAACUGUGAGAGGUGAUAAUAAAAAUAUUGCUCAUGUUUUAAGCCACCGUGUUUUGGGAUGAUUUGUAAACAGCAAUAGAUAAUUGGUGCCACAAUUCUGGCAGCAGAGCACUAAGACCAAAACCCUGUUAUAAGCUUCUGCUCUGAUCAUUUAACCCCUACCACUUUCCUGGGUGAUCAGCCAUUUGUUCAACUUGCAUUGGGUGAGCAUUCGCCUCAUGCCAGGCUCUGUGUCACACUGAGGGCCCAGUGAGGGGUGAACAAACAGACUUGGUGCUGGCAUUCAGAGAAGGGACAUCUGUUACUCGGGAGACCCUCAUUCCCCUUAUCUCAUGAAGUGAAGGGGAUCUGGUCCCACCUGGCUUCUUCCCUCUUCCUUUCCCUGCAGCCAGGCUGGGCCUGGAGUGUCCUAGCACAUGUCACUCUAGUGACUGAAUUCUGGACAUUAUUAUUGGCUUCCUGUGAGAACCGAAGCAGGGGCCCUUGAGGGAUAAGAUCAGAUGAACAGGUUUAAACCAAAAGGGAGACAAAGCCACCCCAAACUGAGAGGCAGGAUGGAGUACAGGGAGACGUCCAGAAAGCAGGGACCUAAUCUAGGAUGGGGAGAUUUGAAAGACAGGAAGGAGGGUCUGUGCUGGUGGUUGGCAUUGUUGGGGCGCCAAGGGGGUCACUCAGGGUGGUGUCUCUCAUGUGGCCUUUGGUUCUUUCUCCAGAGAAGCACUCAGGCGAGGAGGCUGGGUCAUGUUUCAGGGUUGUUAAAAAUACAGCAGUAACUCACUGAGUGCCGCCUUCUAUGGGGUUGGCCUGGGGAGCUGUAAAGUAUAAAGGGAAACCUCUUCCCCAGGUGCAAGGACCUGCUGCUGGCAGUUGAUGGAGCAACUGUGGGAGUGGUGAUUGGCUGCUUUGAGGAGGCCCAAGAAGUGAGCUGCCACCUCACAACUCCAGGGGCUGGGCAAGGAUGAGAGAGUCUCAGAUUCAUUGCUGGGGCUUGGAGUCUAAGGGGCAUGGAGGGAUGUAGUAGUCAGCUAGAGCUGCCAUAAUAAAGCACCAGAAACAGGAUGGCUUACACAACAGAAAUGUAUUUUCUCAUCGUUCUGCAGACCAGAAGUCCAAGAUCAAGGGGUCAGCAGGAUUGUUCCUCCUGAGGGUUAGGAGGGAGAAUCUGCUCUAGGCCUCUCUCCUGGUUUCUAGUGUUUGCCAGCAAUCUUUGCCAUUUCUUGGUUUGUAAAAGCAUCACCUGAUUUCUGCCUUGGUCUUCAGGUGAUGUUCUCCCUGUCUGCAUGUUUGUGUCUAAAUUUCCCCUUUUUAUAAGGACAUCAGUCAUAUUGGAUUAGGACUCACCCUUCUCCAGUAUUACUGCAUCUUAACUUGAUUACUUCUGUAAAGAUUUCUUCUCCAAGUGAAGUCACAUUCUGAGGUACUGGUUAGGACUCCAGUGUAUGGCUUUGAAGGGACACAAUUCACCCAUAACAUGAGACGAUAAUGUCAACCAGGCACCUAGUUCUAUAGCUGACUUCUUGAUCUCAGGUAAUGUGCUCAACAACUCUGUGAUAAAAAUACUAUACAUUUUUUUCUAAUUAUUUAUUAUAAAAUUUUAAAAACAUACAGCAGUCACUACUAAAAAUACAAAAAAUUAGCUGGGUGUGGUGGUGGGUGUCUGUAGUCCCAGCUACUCGGGAGGCUGAGGCAGGAGAAUGGCGUGAAUCUGGGAGACAGAGCUUGCAGUGAGCUGAGAUUGCACCACUGCACUCCAGCCUGGGCGACAGAGCAAGACUCUGUCUCAAAAAAAAAAAACAAAAAAAACCCAAACAUACAGCAAAGCUGAAAGAAUUUUACAGUGAGCACCCUUCCCAUAUGCCCACUAGCUACAUUCUACUAUUGACAUUUUACCUUAUUUGCCUUGUCACAUAAUCUGUCCAUCUAUUCAUCCUCAAUCCACCCAUUAAUCCACCUUAUUUUCUGGUGCAUUUCAAAGUAAAUUGCAAACAUCAAUACGUUUUUCCCUAAAGUUAGCAGUCAAUCAUUAACUAGAGUUCAAUAUUUUCUUUACAGAUUUUUCUUCUGAGGUACAAUGAAGUGCUCAAAUCUUAAGUAUACAUUUAUUGAGUUUUAAGGAAAGCAAACAGCUGUGUAAUCCAAAUGCCUAGCAAGAUAUAGAACAUUACCAUCACCAUGGAAAUUUCCCUCAUGUCCUUUCCCAAUCUCUGCCUCCACCCCUCAGAGGCAACCACCAGUCGAUUUUUCCACUGUAGCUUAGUUUUGCCUGUUCUAGAACUUCAUAAAAAGUGGAAUCAGAUGCAAUUUACUCAUUCAUUUAAGGCUUCUUCCACUGAUCGUCAUGUUGUCAAGCUUCAUCCGUGCUGAAUGAAUGUUGUAGUGUGUAUCUGUAAUUCAUUGCUCCUUAUUGCUGAGUAGUAUCUCAUUGUAUGGACGUGCCACACUUCUCCUGAUGAGCCUCUGGGCUGUUUUCAGCUCUCGGCUACUGCAAAUAAGUAUGUAUUUGCAUCUCCAUUUUAGGGAUAACGAAGUGAUGCUCAGGAAGUUUAAGUGGCUUGUUGAAGGUCAUAUGGGUCAUGAGGGGCAGAACCAAGAUUUGAACUCAGCCAGAUUGGUCAGAUGCCAGAGCCUAAAGCAUUUUCUUUUUAAUUCCUUUGUGAUAUGUUUGCUUUCCGUGGUGUGGGGUGGCCUGGGAAGUAAAGUAUACCAUGGGAUGUGUAUUUUACCUUCAUCUGACUGAUUUGCAUUAUAGUCAGGCAGUCUGCAAUUGCAAGAGUGGUUUUGAGUCCCUGCUUCACCAUUUACCAGCCGUGUGACCCUGGGCACAUGACUAAACUUGCUUCUGUCUCUGCUUCCUGAUCUGUACAAUGGGGAGAUAACAGCAUACAUAGGGUUGUUGUGAGGGUUAAAUAACGAAUUAAUAUAUGAAAGCCCAGUGACUGUGCCAGGCAUAUGGUAAGUGCCAUAUGAAUGUGAGAUAUUUGACAAUUAUCUCUUGAGCACUAUCUCCAGGCCACAUCCAUGUGCUAAGUAUACAAGGAUGACUAACGCAUUGUAUCGGGCCCACCUUGUCUGCACCUUUCAUCCUCUGGAUAGAUCCCUCUUUUCCUGUGGCCAUUGGUGAGGCCAUCAGCUUCAAGCAGGUAUACCUGUCGGCAUCUUGCCUUGUUGUUCCCUCCUCUCUAUGAGGAACUGCCAUACCCUUCUCCACCGCGGCUGCGCCACUUCACAUCCCAGCAACAGUGCACAGGGGUUCCAGUGUCUCCACAUGCUUGCCAACAUGUCUCCCUCCUUUCCUCCCUCAUUCCCUCCCUCCCUUCCUUCCUUCCUUCUUUCUUUCCUUCCUU
RNAcentral lists this long non-coding RNA (10663 nucleotides) under Homo sapiens (human). RNAcentral describes it as "non-protein coding lnc-DISP1-8:4". Lineage: Eukaryota; Metazoa; Chordata; Mammalia; Primates; Hominidae. The record is from RNAcentral.